Non-coding RNA from Echria macrotheca, 92 nucleotides. The record is from the annotation of a GenBank genome assembly. Lineage: Eukaryota; Fungi; Ascomycota; Sordariomycetes; Sordariales; Schizotheciaceae.
GGUUCAAUGGUGUAAUGGUUAUCACGUCAGUCUCACAUCUCCGAACAGAGUUGUCACACUGAAGGUUCCCAGUUCGAUCCUGGGUUGAAUCA